AGCGAACGCUGGCGGCAGGCCUAACACAUGCAAGUCGAACGGAUCCUUCGGGAUUAGUGGCGGACGGGUGAGUAACACGUGGGAACGUGCCCUUUGGUUCGGAACAACUCAGGGAAACUUGAGCUAAUACCGGAUGUGCCCUUCGGGGGAAAGAUUUAUCGCCAUUGGAGCAGCCCGCGUCUGAUUAGCUAGUUGGUGAGGUAACGGCCCACCAAGGCGACGAUCAGUAGCUGGUCUGAGAGGAUGAUCAGCCACACUGGGACUGAGACACGGCCCAGACUCCUACGGGAGGCAGCAGUGGGGAAUCUUGCGCAAUGGGCGAAAGCCUGACGCAGCCAUGCCGCGUGAAUGAUGAAGGUCUUAGGAUUGUAAAAUUCUUUCAGCGGGGACGAUAAUGACGGUACCCGCAGAAGAAGCUCCGGCUAACUUCGUG
This 433-nucleotide ribosomal RNA is filed under the name uncultured bacterium. Its description in RNAcentral is "partial 16S ribosomal RNA". It matches the Rfam family "Bacterial small subunit ribosomal RNA", at positions 29 to 507 of the family's 1533-position model. The record is from RNAcentral.